AUUGAACACUGGCGGCAGGCCUAACACAUGCAAGUCGAACGGUAACAGAAAGCAGCUUGCUGCUUUGCUGACGAGUGGCGGACGGGUGAGUAAUGUCUGGGAAACUGCCUGAUGGAGGGGAAUAACUACUGGAAACGGUAGCUAAUACCGCAUAACGUCGCAAGACCAAAGAGGGGGACCUUCGGGCCUCUUGCCAUCGGAUGUGCCCAGAUGGGAUUAGCUAGUAGGUGGGGUAACGGCUCACCUAGGCGACGAUCCCUAGCUGGUCUGAGAGGAUGACCAGCCACACUGGAACUGAGACACGGUCCAGACUCCUACGGGAGGCAGCAGUGGGGAAUAUUGCACAAUGGGCGCAAGACUGAUGCAGCCAUGCCGAGUGUAUGAAGAAGGCCUUCGGGUUGUAAAGUACUUUCAGCGGGGAGGAAGGGAGUAAAGUUAAUACCUUUGCUCAUUGACGUUACCCGCAGAAGAAGCACCGGCUAACUCCGUG
This 490-nucleotide ribosomal RNA is filed under the name uncultured bacterium. Its description in RNAcentral is "partial 16S ribosomal RNA". It matches the Rfam family "Bacterial small subunit ribosomal RNA", at positions 30 to 507 of the family's 1533-position model. The record is from RNAcentral.